UAGCUGUAGCUGGAAUCGCACGUGUUGU
RNAcentral lists this small RNA (28 nucleotides) under Bombyx mori (domestic silkworm). RNAcentral's name for it is "ovarian small RNA-22535". Lineage: Eukaryota; Metazoa; Arthropoda; Insecta; Lepidoptera; Bombycidae. The record is from RNAcentral.